AUGGACGACCACGGGGGGAUCCCAGCCCCUCCCCCUCCUCUGCCUCUGCCCCCUCCCUACGCCCCUCCUGCUCCACCUCCCCUCCUUCCAUCGACACAAGGGCUGGAAGAUCUGCAAUUUGGAGAAGGUCAGGAGAUCUGGCAAGAAACAGGCACCACCAAGAAUUGUUCUAGAGCCAGCUGGAAUCACAAGAUGAAGUCAUAUCUUAUUUGGCUCUUGAAAGAACAUGAUGUGCCGACAUAUCGAACACGAAAUGCAUGGAGCAAAGAGGCUUGGAGAAGGAUUGUGGAUGCAUUCAAUACACGAUUUGGUUUAUCACUCUCAGUAACUCAGGUCAAACAAAAGGAGCAGGACCUGAAGAAAGAUUUUAAAGCUAUAAGAGACUUGAUAUCCGAAAGUGGUUUUGGCUGGGAUCGUGAUACGAUGAUGGUGGUUGCUCCGGAUAGUGUUUGGGAAGAAUUAAGGGCACGUAAAAACAAAGAUGCCCUCCGAUGGCAAGACAAAUCAUUCCCAUACUAUUAUGAUAUAUUUGCUCUAUAUGACGGGCGCUAUGCUCAAGGAAGGGGUUGCCAUGGCACGGAUAAUUAUGCGAACAAGGCCGCACAUGUAUCGAUGGAACUUCCAGAAGACCUACAUAUAAAUCAUCAACCAUCUCAUUCUACUCCUGAGCCUACUAGUGCUAAACGGGGGAAAAGACAGAAGACAAACUCUAAUCUUGAUGAUUUCCAAGAGAGGUACCUGAGCUUCAAAAGAGAAGAGCUGGAUCGGUUUGCAGCCAUUGAGGAGAGGAAAUUGGAGGAUCCCUAUAGCAUACAAAAUUGCAUUGCUGUACUUGAAGGGUUGCCGGAUUUACAAACAGAAGAUAUGCUAAAAGCAGCUGACCUCUUCACCGAUAACAAGGACAACAGAGAAGUGUUUCUCUCGUUUUCAACUAAGGAAUUACGGCUGGCCUGGUUAAAAAGAAGAAUUCAGAACACCUAG
Molecule: ribosomal RNA, 981 nt
Filed under: Triticum aestivum (bread wheat)
Lineage: Eukaryota; Viridiplantae; Streptophyta; Magnoliopsida; Poales; Poaceae
Description: partial small subunit ribosomal RNA
Source: RNAcentral